GACCUUUGAAAGAGCAGGCAGUGCUCAUAACUACUGAGCCAUCCUAGCGCCAGAGCCUGAAAAGGUGAACCCUCUGGGGCUGACUUGGGGGGUCAGAGAGAGUAGGCUUCUGCAAAUUGCCCAAGGCCC
Molecule: small nucleolar RNA, 129 nt
Organism: Alexandromys fortis (reed vole)
Lineage: Eukaryota; Metazoa; Chordata; Mammalia; Rodentia; Cricetidae
Product: small nucleolar RNA SNORD22
Exons: 1
Source: RefSeq, a predicted model, not a curated record